Molecule: long non-coding RNA, 6677 nt
Filed under: Sus scrofa (pig)
Lineage: Eukaryota; Metazoa; Chordata; Mammalia; Artiodactyla; Suidae
Description: lncRNA (ENSSSCG00000054185.1)
Source: RNAcentral
AAAAUGUCUUUUUCAUACAGUUGAAGUUCAACUGUAUUUGUAUUUCCUGCAGUUUUGCUGUCCACAUUGAUACCCAUUGAAAAGUGAUGACUGCUUAGAAAUUUUAAAGAUUUUUUUUCUAAUUUGGCUGACCAAGUUAACAGAUGUCUCAUAGAAGACUUUUUAUACUAAUUCCUCCUGAUGUUAGCAACAUUUCAAGAUAAAGACAAAAUUACCCUCUGCCACCUCUCUCAGCUUGACAGAGCUGCUAAUCCCUUUUUACUCAGUUUCUACAUUUGAGGUUUCUAUAUCUUCAUAACCAUCUCUGUUUCCUUAUUGGAAAAUGCCUCAUCUGUUGUGAAUUUUAAGUAAGCAAGUCAUAAAUUUUGACUCGAUCCACAUUUUAAUGGAGAAGAGUCAAACAGUUCAAAACUUAAGCUGCUGAUCUUGGUAUUAAGGGUAAUUUCUAAUAAAUUAACUGUGGUCGUGUGUAUGAAAAGAGACAGAGGCUUCUCAAUGAUUUACGUGUUGUUUUCCCAGUUUGUAGACAGUAAGGCCUAAGAAGGUCUUCUUGUCCCUCUUUUUAUUCUCAUUUUAUUAAUUUCAUUAUAUGUAACUAAUCAGAAAUAUAUAUAACAAAGUUACUAUUUCCUUGAAGUGUAUUUACUAGCAGCUGACUCACAAUAGGAAAGAGGUGAAAAUUGUUUGCUAAAAUGAAAUAUUAAGGCUAUGAAACAUUUUAAUUAUAUACAAUUAAGAAUUCCUACACAUAAUUAUCUAAAGGCUUCUCUCUCUCGCUUGAAUCUAGGUCUGAUCUGCCUUCAUAGGAUUCUUUCAUUCCCUUAAGGUCACAUUUCAACAAUAACAAAGAGAUAAGCUGUUAAAUACUUGAUCAACCAAUUUAGGCAGAAUGCCAAGUUACCAAUUUCUCACUCUUAUCCCCACUUAAUUGACUGAUGGAGUCUAAAUGGGCUAGUGGAUCCAAUCUCAAUUAAACAUGAUUUGGGGUAGGAAAGACACAAUAAUGCCCAUGUUUUCAAUAAAGCAAACCAAUAAUGUAAGAAAUUAUUCUAACCUAAUCCUGUAGUCUUCAACCAUGCACCCAGCCCUCUAUACUGGAGAAAUAGUUAAUUAGCCUCUUGGAAAGCUGUCUGAUUUUUCAGAAGUUUUGAACAAAAGCAAAUAAGACAAAAUAAAAAUCAAACAAGUACUAGAUGAUUAUUAACUACAAGAAACCCAUAAAGCAGUGUCCCAGGUUUAGGAAGGAAAGAUGCAGACAAAUACUGGAAGAUGAGUUCCAGUGGCUCUGGCCACGACAAACCCCUGUGAUGAAAUGUUCUCAGUCAGUAGUUAUCUCUGUGGAAUUCCAGCCUGACCAGAGUGAGAUUUUCCCAGAAGCAAACUUUGACCUCACCCACUGCGAUAUAAACUUAUUCAUGGAGGGAAAAUUAAAUUUCCUGAGGUUAUGAAAUAUUAAGAAGAUGACCUGAAAUGAAAGGGAGUAAGAGCAUAGUCACCAGCCGGGCCUCUGGAGUUGGACUGUAGGGUUAAGACCCUAGAUCAUUUGCUAGCUGUAUGAUCUUAAGCAAUUUCCACAAAUCCAAAAUUGGAAUAAUUAGAGUAUAAUAUAUAUCCAGUUUUUCUGAAGAUUAAGUGAGAUCUAACAUAUAAAGCAUAUAUCAUGGCAUCUGGCAUAUACAACACCAGGAACAAAUAUCGUGAAUAUCAUUAUGUUUGAGCCAAGACUCAACAAAUAGUUGAGCUUUAAUUCUACAACAAUCAACUCUAUUCGUUAAUCAUGGGUAUAGAAUGUUAAAUAAGACUAAGUUUUUGGUUUAAAAAAAAACAAGAAAACAAGUAAACAAUUAUAAUGCAACAAGUUAUUUGCUAUGUUAGAGGUUAGCACAGAAUCUUCUGGGAGCAGAAGGGUAUAGAGGAAUUUUUUCUGGAUAUAAUGAAAACUAUGCCCCAAAUACAGUAAUAAGCGUUUAUGAAAAAUUAUCAAAAAUAUGGCUCUUCCAUUUAAGGCCAUGAGACAGUCUAAGUUAACUCAAGUCUUAAUUUAAGCCUUAUUGUUUCAAGGUCAUUGAUAUUUGCAAAAAAAAAAAAAGUACCUAAAUCAUACUCACCCCCUUUUAGUUCUUCCAGUUUCCCUCCAAUCAGAGAUUUCCUUGUUUCUGUCUAAAUUGUAAUAGUCAUUAAACAGUAUCCUAUGGAGAAAAAAAAAUUUAAAAAUCAGUAAUUUAAAUAAAAGUAGCUUUAUGAACUCUAUGUUUUUAAGCAGGAGCUCCUUCAUGUAUGCAUGAAUUAAAGUUAAAAUGUGGACCCAGUAAUAUCUGAAAGGAAAUUCCAUUGUGGCAUAUAAUUUACUCUCUAGUUCUAAAAUUAUUUUCUGAUAUCAUUAAUAUAUUAGCCAUAAUUAAAUUCUUAUGAAUGUAGAGUAGGUAAAAACACCUUGGUGCCUCUCAAACCUGCAUUUGAUGAAUAAUGUGAAAAAUAUAUCCCCCAACACCUGCUGAGUUCCAACUAUAAAAUAAAACCGGUAGCAACAAUUUUAGAUUAGCAUUCAACAAUUACCUUACAUUUAUUAGUUCUUUUAAAUGUUUUAUUAGAAUUGAAACAACCAAUAUUUGCUCAUGUUUCAUUAAAUCCCAUUUUCAAUGUUCAGCUCAAACCUAGUGAUAAAGGAGGGUCCUUUGAGCUUAGUGGUAAUAUCAUCUAAGCCUGAAAAUAACAGAAAAGACUUCAGAGUCAACAUCUCUUUGGUCUAAGAUAACAAGAAUACCUGAAUAAUUACUCAAAAUUAUAAUACUAAUAAAACAUGAAUAAAGAACCACUUACAGUUCAUCCGGUAUGAAUUAUUUUAAGCAUGUCUAAUAAAAGAAAGCUUUAAAAGAGCAUUAGCAGAAUUUAUUUAAUUGCAAUGUGUGCAGGGCAGUGUUAUAUUAUGUACCUGUGGCUUUUCAGAAUCACACACAGUCUUGUGUUUAAUGUGUAUAAUCAAGCAAGAAAAUAAUAAAACUAGAAACUAUUCUUCAAUGGUAAAUUUUUGCCCACUGAGCUGUCAAUUGUGGAUGGAUUCAUGAUUGAUCAGAAUAAUAUACAAUGGCACGGUGUAAUUCUUUAGUGUGAUGUUGUAAAAUGGAGUAUUGCUUCUGUUAUUUUAUCCAGUUUGCUUUUAUAUGACAGGGUUUAUUGUGCGUUAUGUUGUAGCUCAUUCCUCUGUUCACAAUGCCUACUGAUGUGUAAUUAUGACUUGUCUGAACUGUAAGAAGGAGCAGUAAGUGAAAGGAAAUCUGCAAGCACGCUUGAUUUAUGAGUCCUGAUACUAUAUUACAGUCCUAAUCUGCCUGCUUAACUUAGCUUCGGGCUAACUUACUGUAUAACAUGCUUAUGAUUAGCACUGUAGCAAGUUGCGGAAGAUUUACUCUGAAGGAGCUACUAGACUUUUUAAAAAAUGAUUUAGCCAUUAUUUCAGUUACAGGUAAAGAAAUAAAUUAUUUCUUUUAUAAAGACUCAUGUCAAAGAAUGACCAUUAUGAAGGCAUUUUUUUUUUUUGUGGUAACAAAGAGCAGAAUGUGGAAUUUUUUUCCAAGUUAAAUAUAAAGUUAUUGGUUAUGUUUUAUGAUAAAACUGGCCAUAUUACUUUUCUUCUUUUUUUAUUUCAUAUACAGUAGCUUUUGCCUGGUGCUAUAAUUGCACUAUGAGAAUAUCUAUUUUGAUCCAGGGCAUCUUAUUUUUUUGCAAGAGUAGCCAAAAAUAGAAAUUACUAUGGAUGAGCAAAUGAAACCAAACCCAUAAAGCAAUGACCUCAGUGUCAGCAAGGAAAGAUGUAAGCAAAUUUGCCUUUUUUAAUCACCAUGCACAAAGAAAGAUACAGCUGGAGUUAAGCAUCACAGUACCGUUAUUGAAUCCUAGAAUAUUCAAUUCACAUGCUUUUAGUAAAUUAAAGUUAUAAAUUACCCUUUGUUUCUUCAGAUUCAAUCUGAAUCACCAAUAAGAAAAAUAUUCUUCUCCAAAGCUUAUUUGUGACCAGGUUUUGUUAAAUGUCUAGCAGAAAAAAAAAAAAAAAAACUUGAAAAAUCAUCUGUAGCUCAUACUUUGGUAUGAAAUAAACAGCUUUGUGCAUUAGGACAUGCAAGCAUCUAUGAGUCAUCACAGAAAUAUCAAUGAGAUGGAUAUUCCAGAAUUUUUUAAAAAUCCUAUUGUUUAUACAUCUUAUUAUUGUCUUUUGUUCAGCUUGGAUUCUAUUUCCCUAUCUUCUAUUUCUCCUGAAUAUUGCUUCUAUAAUCAGUAAAACAUGGGUUUUGGAUCCAAUGAACUGAAAUAUAAAUUAUUAACUGAUUACUUCAUGAUAAAAUGCAAAGUUCCAAGAGUAGCAUAGAAUUAAACUCAUAGUGGACAACAGAAGGGCUGUGAUUGUGAACACAAGUAUCCUCAAACUUAUACAACUCUGGAAAAGUUAGAACAGUAAUCUUUUAUAAUGAACAAUACACCCUAUUACAAACUGGAUUUGCAAGACAUGCUUUAGCAAUAUUUUUGGUCAUUCCAUGCUGAAUAAUUAGUUCAUUUUCUAUUUCUCCGCACAAAAUGUCAGCCUUAUUUUGGCUUCUUGAGGUGAAUUCGUACUAAGAACCCUUCAACUGCCAUAAUAUCAUUUAGUAAAUGUGUGACUGACGAGGGGAAUUUUUCUUAUUUGGGCAUCGUUGCAGAUAGCAUCUGCCAGAAUGUGCAGAUGAUAUUUACUGAAUUAAAGGUCUAAGUAGUGGGAGAUAGCCCUAAAUAUGCACUUCCUCUACCAAUUAUCAAAUUAAACUUGAUUCUUAGCCAUUUGAACAUUCAUAGUUGGAAACCAAAACAGUUUAUAUGCACUGUAGAUUCAAGUCAACUUCUUUUAAUUUGGUACUUGCGAACUGUUUCUUUAAUGGUGAAACUAUCCUUGGAAAAUGAGAGAAGGGGCUGCAUACCAUUAGAAUGAGCCCAUAAACCAUAUAAUGUUCUUGCUACACCAAAUAUUUCAAGGCUGGACUAGCUCACCCUCAGAAUAGACAACAAUCUCCUCUCUAUGCAACCAUCCUAAUCAGUAAGAGCAGCAUUCUCUUGAAUGGAUGAGUUUAAAAGAGUAGUUACCAGUUUUCUGAUGAGAAACUUAAGACUAAAAAUAAAAGUAAAACUGCCCUGGGGAGGAACUGUUGGUUAACAUAUUUUCAACAAGAGUCUCCUCUAUUACAUCCAAUAAAGCUACAUACAGUCUCAAGUGACCACAUAUUUAACUACGACUCAAGCCAUACCUUAUUAAUUCACUUGAAAUGGUAAUGUGUUUACUUGAAACUCUAAAGUCAUCUGAAUUUCUUCACCUUUCAUGAGCUAAAGUCUCCAGCCAAUUAAAGUCCAUGUACCCAAGAUCUUGGGUCUGAUUCUCCAGUCUUCAUGUGGGAAAAUUUCCCAUGGCCAUCAAUGCCUUUUGCACAAUUAGGUCAUCAUUACACUGUUUAGCAGGCUUUUCUAGGUGAAAACUCAUGCAAUGUGCACAUUGGCAAAAGUUCUUGCACCAGUAAGCAAAUCAACUUCAGGAAGUAAAGAGUUUGAUAAUUUUCCCAAGUUUUUCUUCCAAAAAUAAUGAAGAUGGCCUUGUUUUCUUCUAGUCAAAUUUCUCAGUAGACAAAUUUGAAUUAUCAAGAAGAUAGCAAGACAUCUUUGAUUGAUAAUCACAUUAUACAGUAAUAAAUGAAUCAUCAACCUUAGAAAAGUCAUCUUACCCAGCUGCUUCAUUAGCAAGCAUUGCUAUUUUCUCUCCAAAAGAGCCUUGGACCAGAUAUCAAAAAAUCUGGAUUCUGUUCCCUUCGCCAUUCGAUAUUUCUGAAUCUUUACAUGUUAUUUCAUAUCUAUUUAUCUUUUAAUAUUUCUUAACAAUUGCCUUAAACACAGAUUUUUGUGAAAAUUAAAAGCAAAAAAGAAAAACUGUAUAAACGGAGAUUUAUAUAUAUCUAAAUAAGUUGUAUAUGUGUAUAUUAACACUGUUAUCACCUGAUCAUAUUAUCAUAAUCUCAUUGGGAUUUCCAUCUCAAAUUGCGCCUCUUAAAUAAAGUUGCCAUCACAACAGCCAUUCAGUUUCCCAGACCCUAACUUAAUCAUUGCUAGUCACAGCAUGUACAUGGCAAUUUUACUUGCAGGCAUCAGGGCCUCCCACAAAGCUCCCAAAGUAAAUUUUCUGUCCAACAUAACUAAAUUUCUCUUACUUCUGUGUGGAAACAAGCUAUAUAUCUGGAAGAGUCUCUUCUUCAACAUUCUUACUCAGCUCCUUUAGAGAGGAAUUUAAAAUCUACAUCCUUUGAGAAUCUUUCCCAAUUAAUAGAGAUUUGUUAUGCCAUUUGCAUCAUCCCGUGCCACCUCAUCAAGUCUAAGCCCUGUGUAUAAACAACGAUAGCAGUGCAGCUUAUGAAUCCAUAUUAUUUAUGUUUCUUCCUACUCAAUUUGUUAUUUGACAUGUAUUAUAGUCAUGCCUGCAUUUUUGUUAAGUCUCAAAGACUAAAAAGAACUAAGACUACCCAUGCUCAGAGAGUAUGUCAUAUUACAGUGGAGCUAUGCAUUUCCAGGAGAUGUCAGCUUUCCUUUCCUGAUAAUCACUCAAUGGAAAGACAACAUUUACUAUAAAUAUUUAGGUAAUGUAUAAUGACCAUUUAGUUGGGUUGACUUCU